RNAcentral lists this ribosomal RNA (261 nucleotides) under uncultured bacterium. Its description in RNAcentral is "partial 16S ribosomal RNA". It matches the Rfam family "Bacterial small subunit ribosomal RNA", at positions 524 to 782 of the family's 1533-position model. The record is from RNAcentral.
UACGGGGGGGGCAAGCGUUGUUCGGAAUUACUGGGCGUAAAGCGCACGUAGGCGGUUCGUUAUGUCGGAUGUGAAAGCCCUUGGCUUAACCGAGGAAGUGCAUCCGAAACUGGCGAGCUAGAGUACGAAAGAGGAUCGCGGAAUUCCCGGUGUAGAGGUGAAAUUCGUAGAUAUCGGGAAGGAACACCGGUGGCGAAGGCGGCGAUCUGGGUCGAUACUGACGCUGAGGUGCGAAAGCGUGGGGAGCAAACAGGAGUUAGA